AUACGGAGGGUGCAAGCGUUGUUCGGAAUUACUGGGCGUAAAGCGCGCGUAGGUGGUCUGUUAUGUCAGAUGUGAAAGUCCACGGCUCAACCGUGGAAGUGCAUUUGAAACUGGCAGACUUGAGUACUGGAGGGGGUAGUGGAAUUCCCGGUGUAGAGGUGAAAUUCGUAGAUAUCGGGAGGAAUACCGGUGGCGAAGGCGACUACCUGGCCAGAUACUGACACUGAGGUGCGAAAGCGUGGGGAGCAAACAGGAUUAGAUACCCCAGUAGUCC
RNAcentral lists this ribosomal RNA (274 nucleotides) under uncultured bacterium. RNAcentral's name for it is "partial 16S ribosomal RNA". It matches the Rfam family "Bacterial small subunit ribosomal RNA", at positions 523 to 796 of the family's 1533-position model. The record is from RNAcentral.